ACGGUGAGGGAUGAAAGCUGGGGGAGCAAACCGGAUUAGAUACCCGGGUAGUCCCAGCUGUAAACCAUGCAAACUCAGUGAUGCAUUGGCUUGUGGCCAAUGCAGUGCUGCAGGGAAGCCGUUAAGUUUGCCGCCUGGGAAGUACGUACGCAAGUAUGAAACUUAAAGGAAUUGGCGGGGGAGCACCACAAGGGGUGAAGCCUGCGGUUCAAUUGGAGUCAACGCCU
RNAcentral lists this ribosomal RNA (227 nucleotides) under uncultured crenarchaeote. RNAcentral describes it as "partial 16S ribosomal RNA". It matches the Rfam family "Archaeal small subunit ribosomal RNA", at positions 694 to 920 of the family's 1478-position model. Lineage: Archaea; Thermoproteati; Thermoproteota. The record is from RNAcentral.